RNAcentral lists this ribosomal RNA (252 nucleotides) under uncultured bacterium. RNAcentral's name for it is "partial 16S ribosomal RNA". It matches the Rfam family "Bacterial small subunit ribosomal RNA", at positions 524 to 776 of the family's 1533-position model. The record is from RNAcentral.
UACAGAGGGUGCAAGCGUUAAUCGGAAUUACUGGGCGUAAAGCGCGCGUAGGUGGUUCGUUAAGUUGGAUGUGAAGCCCCCGGCUCAACUGGGGAGGGUCACGCGAUACUGAUCGACUCGAAGGCAGGAGAGGGAAGUGGAACUUCCGGUGGAGCGGUGAAAUGCGUUGAGAUCGGAAGGAACGCCCGUGGCGAAAGCGAGUUCCUGGACGUCGGCUGACGCUGAGACGCGAAAGCCAGGGGAGCGAACGGG